UAUUUUAUGUAUAUGUUGUGUAACUAAUUGUGGCUCAAUAUAGAAAUCAUUGGCAGCUCUUGGUUCUUUGUCCUACAAACAAUGUUGCAAUCUGGUUUUGUUCUUUGCAUCCUAAGCCCAAUGUACAAUUCAAAAAUUUAAUAAAAAGUGUUAUGGUUGUGUAUAAUGUUAUGAGUGGUAGAUCUACAGCACAACCAAAGAACCUAGAUUGGAUUUAUCCCAUGGUAAGUGGUUUGUUACCUCAAUAUACCUAAAAAUUGCUUUUUAUUAGCUUAAUUAAAAAAUUGUUUAUACAACUCAAAUUGAUAUUCAUUUUAGAGUAAUAUGCAACAAGGACAUUAUGAAUGUGGAUACUACGUGAUGAAUUGGAUGUUGGACAUAAUUGAAGGAGAAGUAACAACUGAUUGGAUCGAGCUUUUUGACGAUGUUGCACCAUUGC
Molecule: non-coding RNA, 439 nt
Organism: Cajanus cajan (pigeon pea)
Lineage: Eukaryota; Viridiplantae; Streptophyta; Magnoliopsida; Fabales; Fabaceae
Source: RefSeq, a predicted model, not a curated record